Molecule: ribosomal RNA, 253 nt
Filed under: uncultured bacterium
Lineage: Bacteria
Description: partial 16S ribosomal RNA
Rfam family: Bacterial small subunit ribosomal RNA
Source: RNAcentral
UACAGAGGUCUCAAGCGUUGUUCGGAAUCACUGGGCGUAAAGGGUGCGUAGGCUGCUUGGUAAGUCAGAGGUGAAAUCCCGGAGCUCAACUUCGGAAUUGCGUCCGAUACUGCCGUGCUUGAGGACUGGAGAGGAGAUUGGAAUUCACAGUGGAGCAGUGAAAUGCGUAGAUAUUGUGAGGAACACUAGUGGCGAAGGCGAAUCUCUGGGCAGUGCCUGACGCUGAGGCACGAAGGCCAGGGGAGCAAACGGG